This 496-nucleotide ribosomal RNA is filed under the name uncultured bacterium. Its description in RNAcentral is "partial 16S ribosomal RNA". It matches the Rfam family "Bacterial small subunit ribosomal RNA", at positions 28 to 506 of the family's 1533-position model. The record is from RNAcentral.
GAUGAACGCUGGCGGCGUGCCUAACACAUGCAAGUCGAGCGAACAGACGAGCAGUUUGCUCUUCUGACGUUAGCGGCGGACGGGUGAGUAACACGUGGAUAACUCCUCUAUAAGACUGGGAUAAGUUCGGGAAACCGUAGCUAAUACCGGAUAAUAUAUUGAACCGCAUGGUUCAAUAGUGAAAUACGGUUUUGCUGUCACUUAUAGAUGGAUCCGCUCGUAGUUAGGUGGUUGGUGGGGUAACGGCUUACCAAGUCACCGAUGGGUAGCCGACCUGAGAGGGGGAUCGGCCAAACUGGAACUGGAACACGGUCCGACCUCCAACGGGAGGAGGAGGUGGGGAAUCUUCCGAAAUGGGGGAAAGCCGGACGGAGAAACGCGGGGUGGGUGAGGAAGGGCUUCGGAUCGUAAACCGCUGUUAUUGGGAAAAAACAAAUGUGUAAGUAACUGUGCGGGUCUGAAGGGUACCGAAGAAGAAGGCCAGGGCAAAUAAGGU